Molecule: transfer RNA, 65 nt
Filed under: Ennucula tenuis
Lineage: Eukaryota; Metazoa; Mollusca; Bivalvia; Nuculida; Nuculidae
Description: tRNA-Asn
Source: RNAcentral
UUAAUAGAAGCUAUUUAGCGCCUGGCUGUUAAUCAGGAGAUAGUAAUAUACCUGUGUUACCUAUU